ACCUGGGUGGCUCAGUCGGUUAAGCGUCUGACUUCGGCUCAGGUCAUGAUCUCACGGUUCGUGGGUUCAAGCCCCGCUUUGGGCU
Molecule: transfer RNA, 85 nt
Filed under: Felis catus (domestic cat)
Lineage: Eukaryota; Metazoa; Chordata; Mammalia; Carnivora; Felidae
Also listed under: 1 other name
Rfam family: tRNA
About the family: Transfer RNA (tRNA) molecules are approximately 80 nucleotides in length. Their secondary structure includes four short double-helical elements and three loops (D, anti-codon, and T loops).
Source: Rfam by way of RNAcentral